This 742-nucleotide ribosomal RNA is filed under the name Dictyoceratida sp. PG_BU11. RNAcentral describes it as "partial 28S ribosomal RNA". It matches the Rfam family "Eukaryotic large subunit ribosomal RNA", at positions 45 to 515 of the family's 3401-position model. Lineage: Eukaryota; Metazoa; Porifera; Demospongiae; Dictyoceratida. The record is from RNAcentral.
AAUAAGCGGAGGAAAAGAAACUAACAAGGAUUCCCCCAGUAACGGCGAGCGAAGCGGGAAUGGCUCAAAUUUGAAAUCUCCGGUGCCUGCACCGGCGAAUUGUAGUCUGUAGGGCCAGUUUCGCCCGAGACGGUGUCCCCAAAGUCGUCCUGGAAAGGCGGGCCGGAGAGGGUGAGAGCCCCGUGCGAGGGGGCACCGUCGGAGGUAAGAUCUGUGCCCGAAGAGUCGGGUUGUUUGGGAUUGCAGCCCAAAAUGGGUGGUAAACUCCAUCUAAAGCUAAAUACUGGCACGAGACCGAUAGCGAACAAGUACCGUGAGGGAAAGAUGAAAAGCACUUUGAAAAGAGAGUCAAAAAGUACGUGAAACCGUCAGGGGGGAAACGAACGAGGUUGGUGCAGUGAUUGCGUAGGUUCAAGUGCCACCGAAGGCGCUGACAUGGCAACGUAGAUCGUUCCGUGGCAUACGCCCGAGGUAGCGCCGUACUCCUCGCGAGCACGGACCAGCGGCGGUUGGAUCGGAGCCAUAAGGCCGCAGGGAAGGUGAGUCGGCGGUGGGUUGCCUGUCGUCGACGGCUUAUAGACCUGCUGGCUGGUGCGCCGGUUCGACCGAGGAAACAGGGCAGACCUUGCCCACAGCGGUGCACGCCGAAUGGCGGGGCCUCCCGUCAGGAGUGAAACGUGCGGUGUGGACUGCAUGCAGUGCUAACCGUGGCGGCGAUCUCGUGAUGGAGAGUGCCACCUGU